CGGUACAGAGAAGCUUGCUUCUCUUGAGAGCGGCGGACGGGUGAGUAAUACCUAGGAAUCUGCCUGAUAGUGGGGGAUAACGUUCGGAAACGGACGCUAAUACCGCAUACGUCCUACGGGAGAAAGCAGGGGACCUUCGGGCCUUGCGCUAUCAGAUGAGCCUAGGUCGGAUUAGCUAGUUGGUGAGGUAAUGGCUCACCAAGGCUACGAUCCGUAACUGGUCUGAGAGGAUGAUCAGUCACACUGGAACUGAGACACGGUCCAGACUCCUACGGGAGGCAGCAGUGGGGAAUAUUGGACAAUGGGCGAAAGCCUGAUCCAGCCAUGCCGCGUGUGUGAAGAAGGUCUUCGGAUUGUAAAGCACUUUAAGUUGGGAGGAAGGGCAGUUACCUAAUACGUGAUUGUCUUGACGUUACCGACAGAAUAAGCACCGGCUAACUCUGUGCCAGCAGCCGCGGUAAUACAGAGGGUGCAAGCGUUAAUCGGAAUUACUGGGCGUAAAGCGCGCGUACGUGGUUUGUUAAGUUGAAUGUGAAAUCCCCGGGCUCAACCUGGGAACUGCAUCCAAAACUGGGGAGCUAGAGUAUGGGAGAGGGUAGUGGAAUUUCCUGUGUAGCAGUCAAAUGCGUAGAUAUACGAAGGGAACACCAGUGGCGAACGCGACUACCUGGACUGGUACUGACACUGAGGUGC
Molecule: ribosomal RNA, 693 nt
Filed under: Pseudomonas fragi
Lineage: Bacteria; Pseudomonadati; Pseudomonadota; Gammaproteobacteria; Pseudomonadales; Pseudomonadaceae
Description: bacterial SSU rRNA
Rfam family: Bacterial small subunit ribosomal RNA
Source: RNAcentral